Molecule: long non-coding RNA, 2450 nt
Organism: Gasterosteus aculeatus aculeatus (three-spined stickleback)
Lineage: Eukaryota; Metazoa; Chordata; Actinopteri; Perciformes; Gasterosteidae
Source: Ensembl
UCUUUCUCCUCCUCCUCUUCCUCUUCCCACAGCUCCUCCUCUUCCUCUUCUCCUCCUCCUCUUCCCACAGCUCCUCUCUUCCUCUUCCCACAGCUCCUCCUCUUCGUCUUUCUCCUCCUCUUCUUCCCACAGCUCCUCCUCUUCCUCUUUCUCCUCCUCCUCUUCCCACAGCUCCUCCUCUUCCUCUUCCCACAGCUCCUCCUCUUCGUCUUUCUCCUCCUCUUCUUCCCACAGCUCCUCCUCUUCCUCUUCCCACAGCUCCUCCUCUUCGUCUUUCUCCUCCUCUUCUUCCCACAGCUCCUCCUCUUCGUCUUUCUCCUCCUCUUCUUCCCACAGCUCCUCCUCUUCGUCUUUCUCCUCUUCCUCCUCCUACUCCUCCCCUUACUCUUCCACUUUGUCUUCCUCCUCCUAAGAUCUUUACAUUUAGAAACUUCUGAUGCCAUUUAGUGAAAAGGGUUCGUCCUCUGGGGAUCACGACCAGUAACAGACUCAACUCACUGUGAAACGUUUUAGAUGAGCAGCUGAGACGCUUUGCUCUGUUUGGCUCCUUACGAUAGCGUCCCUCGUGACUGAUGAGAGAAGAUGGUUCUAUAGAGUUCUUCAUGAUCAUCAGUGCCACCGGGUCAGACAUCAUCCAGGUUCACCAGGAUCUCCUUCCACAAAGAAGGUGGAGGCCCGAUGGUGGAGGCUCCACCGCAGCCGUGGUCCAUCUGAUGGAGCUCCAGACAAAGGAGGAGAUGUCCUUCUCCAGGAACAGACCUCUCCCUCUUUGGAGACCCAGGACUUGGUUCUGGAUACGUUUGAGGGAAGGGAGGCCCGGGAGGACCAGAACCAGGACUGGGGGUCAGUCUGUGAGACCCUGCGGCAGUAGAACUAGAGCUUGUCUAAAAGACACUACCACUACAGACCACAGGGGGCGCUAUAAUCACCACAACAUAAAAGAUGAUCAUAGUAACUUUAAAGUGACAUAUUCUGCCCUUGUUUAUUGAAAUCAAAGUAAAAACUAAAAAGAUUAUAAAGUUAAAUAUAAUCAAUAGAGCCAAUGGGUGAAAGGAACACCACACCAUCAUCAUCAUCAUCAUCAUCAUCAUCACCCUCUGUUCACCUUAGUAAUCUAUAAUCCAUGAUAAUAAUCAAUGUGUGAUCUUUGCUUCAUUCUGUGUUUGUGUAAUAGGCUGAAAAAAUUGUAUUAAUUUGUAAUGGCACCCAUCUUUUUUUUGGAGAUACCAAUGUUACAAACUGCGCUAAGCAGUUAGCAAGUGCUAUUUAGCCAUAUACCACAUGGUACCGGUCUAGACACCCAGAGGUCUGGACCAGUUACAUUCGGUCCAAUAGAAUGAGACCGCUAGGUUGAAGGAUGAACCAUCUCUUGGUUCUCUAGUGUGUCCUUGUUCUUCUCAGGAGGUCUCCUAACACAUCCAACAGGAACGUUCUCAGGGACGAGAAGUCUCUUUCAAAAUAAAGUAGAUCUUUAGGAGGAACGUGGUGCUCGUGUUCUCCGUCUACCGGUGAAUCCUGAUGAUACUGAAGAUACGUUUCUCUCCACUGGUGUCUUCCUGCACUGUGCUCCCUUUUCUGAUCUCACAGUGCAUUCAUUGAGCUUAUAUUUUGUAGGGUAUAUCCAUCCAUCUAUCUUCAAAGCCACUUAUCCAGGUACCGCAGAGAACCCAUGCAUAUAUAUGCAUGGGUUCUCUGCAUACAUAUAUAUAUGUAUGCAUGUAUAUAUAUAUAUACAUACAUACAUAUAUAUAUAUAUGAUCAAAAUUAGGACUAUGUUAAACAUUAUGCAAUUACAUAAAGGCACAUUUUUGUUUUUCAGACCAGCUGAAGAUCAGCUGAAAUUUUGGUUAUGAGUUAUAUUUAAGUACGAUAUUUAUUUGGUAUGUUUGGGAUUUUAAAAAUAGAUGGAUUUUCAUUUUAGCAUCACUGGAAAUAAAUGGGUGAAAGAAAACUGUGUCUUUCUUUGACGAUAAAUAUCUGAAGUUUGUAGGACCUAAAAGUUAAAGUUAAGUUAAAUAAAAAAUAUAUAUUUAAUAUUUAUGGUGAUAGUUAUUGAGGUUUUUCUCUUGUCACAAACCCAAAAAAGAAUUUGAAGAACAUUUUGACGAUUUCUCUUUUUUUCUUUCAGUGAAACCUUUUUAGUCUAUCGUGUUACAGACAAAAUAACUAGAUCCCAACAAGCAUAAUUAAGUAUUCACACAACAAAGGUAAUAAACACCUUUGACCAUUUACCAUUUAACAACACAAUAUUUAGGAGGAGCUUUACUGACUGAUGAAGUCAACUAGUUUAAUAGUUUUGGUGCUUAAAGAAAAAAGAAACACCAUAAUCAAAAAGAUAUUGUGUAAAAUUUAGAAGAAAAUCAACCAAGAAAUGUAGGUCUCGAAAAUAGAAGAAGUUUGUAUUUUUUUCAAUAAAUAAAAAGACAGAAUGAUGGAGUAAAAUGUUGGGG